RNAcentral lists this long non-coding RNA (387 nucleotides) under Mytilus galloprovincialis (Mediterranean mussel). The record is from RNAcentral. Lineage: Eukaryota; Metazoa; Mollusca; Bivalvia; Mytilida; Mytilidae.
CGUUGGUUGUGCACACAUUUUUAUAAUGAAACGCUUCAACGCUUAUACUUGGGUCAACUUUUUUUCGCCCUAAUGAAUUUACAAAAAGAGGCAUUCAAUUCUUAAUUGAAAUUUGAACAUGGAUAUAGUGGCAUGUAAUGUUAAAAUUUCAAAACAAUCUUGUCAGAAAAAACUUCUUAUCACGUUAUUAGCUUUUUGUUGUUCAUGAAUUGACUGUAUUAUAGAACACAUCAUUUUAUAUAUUUACCUUUUUGAUGGGUGACACUAAAGAUUACUGGUAAUUAUAAUAAUGAAUAUUCAUGGUUAGUUGCUCCAAUGACAAUGAAAUCAGAUCUUUUUUUAUACCUUUUGUUUUUUGUAUAAGAAUCAAUCUAAUAACAAUUGGUC